GGACACGUGUCCGAGUGGUUGAAGGAGCACGAUUGGAAAUCGUGUAUGCGGGGUUGACCCGUAUCGAGGGUUCGAAUCCCUCCGUGUCCG
This 90-nucleotide transfer RNA is filed under the name Thermoleophilia bacterium. Its description in RNAcentral is "tRNA-Ser". It matches the Rfam family "tRNA". Rfam says of the family: Transfer RNA (tRNA) molecules are approximately 80 nucleotides in length. Lineage: Bacteria; Bacillati; Actinomycetota; Thermoleophilia. The record is from RNAcentral.